This 504-nucleotide ribosomal RNA is filed under the name uncultured bacterium. RNAcentral's name for it is "bacterial SSU rRNA". It matches the Rfam family "Bacterial small subunit ribosomal RNA", at positions 29 to 528 of the family's 1533-position model. The record is from RNAcentral.
AGCGAACGUUUGCGGCGGGCUUAACACAUGCAAGUCGAACGAGAAUCCCUUCGGGGAGGAAAGUGGCGCACGGGUGCGUAACACGUGGAUAACCAACCCAUUGGUUUGGGACAACACCGGGAAACUGGUGCUAAUACCAGAUGUGUCGCAGCUGUCUUCAGGCGGUUGCGAGAAAGGCCCGCAAGGGUCGCCAACGGACGGGUCCGCGUCCCAUCAGCUAGUUGGUGAGGUAAUGGCUCACCAAGGCAAAGACGGGUAGCUGGUUUGAGAGGAUGAUCAGCCACACUGGAACUGAGACACGGUCCAGACUCCUACGGGAGGCAGCAGGGGGGAAUAUUGCGCAAUGGGCGAAAGCCUGACGCAGCCACGCCGCGUGAGCGAUGAAGGUCUUCGGAUCGUAAAGCUCUGUGGGGGGAGAAGAAACAAGCCGGUGAAGAGCCGGCCCUGACGGUAUCCCCUUAGCAAGCACCGGCUAACUCCGUGCCAGCAGCCGCGGUAAAGUGU